GAUGAACGCUGGCGGCGUGCUUAACACAUGCAAGUCGAACGGAGCUUAGAAGGAAGCUUGCUUUCAUUUAAGCUUAGUGGCGGACGGGUGAGUAACGCGUGAGCAACCUGCCCUCGAGUGGGGAAUAACAUCGAGAAAUCGGUGCUAAUACCGCAUAAUGUCGAGAGACCGCAUGAUCUUUCGACCAAAGGAUUUAUUCGCUUGAGGAUGGGCUCGCGUCCGAUUAGUUAGUUGGUGAGGUAACGGCCCACCAAGACUUCGAUCGGUAGCCGAACUGAGAGGUUGAUCGGCCACAUUGGGACUGAGACACGGCCCAGACUCCUACGGGAGGCAGCAGUGGGGAAUAUUGGGCAAUGGGCGAAAGCCUGACCCAGCAACGCCGCGUGAAGGAUGAAGGUCUUCGGAUUGUAAACUUCUUUGAUGGGGAAGAAUAAAAUGAC
Molecule: ribosomal RNA, 440 nt
Filed under: bacterium XBB3001
Lineage: Bacteria
Description: bacterial SSU rRNA
Rfam family: Bacterial small subunit ribosomal RNA
Source: RNAcentral